Small nucleolar RNA from Neotoma lepida (desert woodrat), 89 nucleotides. It matches the Rfam family "Small nucleolar RNA SNORD116". From Rfam's summary of the family: HBII-85 is a member of the C/D class of snoRNAs, which contain the C (UGAUGA) and D (CUGA) box motifs. Lineage: Eukaryota; Metazoa; Chordata; Mammalia; Rodentia; Cricetidae. The record is from Rfam.
GGAUUUAUGUUGAUUCUCUCUCAAACACUCCUUUGAAAGAUGAACAAAAUGAGUGAAAACUUACUUUUUUCUCACAGGAACAGGAUUCC